This 2664-nucleotide ribosomal RNA is filed under the name Clostridioides difficile. Its description in RNAcentral is "bacterial LSU rRNA". It matches the Rfam family "Bacterial large subunit ribosomal RNA". The record is from RNAcentral. Lineage: Bacteria; Bacillati; Bacillota; Clostridia; Peptostreptococcales; Peptostreptococcaceae.
UCCGUAAGUAGCGGCGAGCGAACGCGGAUUAGCCCAAACCAAUAAAGUUUUCUUUAUUGGGGUUGCGGACAUAUCAUAACGAAGAGGUAUCGUAAUUGAAGAGGUUUGGAAAGACCCACCACAGAAGGUAAUAGUCCUGUAUGUUAAACGAGAAGACUUUAGAUAUGAUCCAGAGUACCACGGGACACGUGAAACCCUGUGGGAAGCAGGAGGGACCACCCUCCAAGGCUAAAUACUACCUAGUGACCGAUAGCGUAUAGUACCGUGAGGGAAAGGUGAAAAGAACCCCGGGAGGGGAGUGAAAUAGAACCUGAAACCCUGCACUUACAAGCUGUGGAAGCACAUUUCUUGUGUGACCGCGUACUUUUUGUAGAACGGGCCAACGAGUUACGUUAAGUAGCAAGGUUAAGCACUUAAGGUGCGGAGCCGUAGCGAAAGCGAGUUUUAACUGAGCGUUCAGUUACUUGACGUAGACCCGAAACCGGGCGACCUACCCAUGAGCAGGAUGAAGCGAAAGUAAAAUUUCGUGGAGGUCCGAACCCACGAGCGUUGAAAAGCUCGGGGAUGACUUGUGGGUAGCGGUGAAAUUCCAAUCGAGCCCGGAGAUAGCUGGUUCUCCCCGAAAUAGCUUUAGGGCUAGCCUCAAGGUGAGAGAUACGGAGGUAGAGCACUGAAUGUCCUAGGGGGUAUUGCACCUACCGAAGACUAUCAAACUCCGAAUGCCGUCAUCUUAUACUUGGGAGUCAGACUGUGGGUGAUAAGAUUCAUAGUCGAAAGGGCAACAGCCCAGAUCGUCAGCUAAGGUCCCUAAAUGUAAGUUAAGUGGUAAAGGAUGUGGGAUUGCACAGACAACCAGGAUGUUGGCUUAGAAGCAGCCACUCAUUCAAAGAGUGCGUAAUAGCUCACUGGUCGAGUGAUCCUGCGCCGAAGAUUUCCGGGGCUAAAACUUACUACCGAAGCUACGGCAUCAGUAAUGAUGGGUAGGGGAGCUUCCCAUACGGGUUGAAGCAUGACCGUAAGGACAUGUGGACAGUAUGGGAGUGAGAAUGUUGGCAUGAGUAGCGAGAUGUGGGUGAGAAUCCCACAGGCCGUAAACCCAAGGUUUCCAGGGGAAGGUUCGUCCGCCCUGGGUUAGUCGGGACCUAAGCUGAGGCCGAAAGGCGUAGGUGAUGGACAACAGGUUGAUAUUCCUGUACUACCGAUAACCGUUUGAGAGAAGGGAUGACACAGUAGGAUAAGCUAAGCACACUGUUGGUUAUGUGUGCCCAAGCAUUGAGGCAGUCAAAGUAGGCAAAUCCGCUUUGAUAAUGCUGGGAUGUGAUGGGGAGCGAAAUUUAGUAGCGAAGUAGCUGAUUUCACACUGUCAAGAAAAGUCUCUAUCGAGGUUAAAGGUACCCGUACCGCAAACCGACACAGGUGGGUGAGGAGAGUAUCCUAAGGCCAGCGAGAGAACUGUUGUUAAGGAACUCGGCAAAAUGACCCCGUAACUUAGGGAUAAGGGGUGCCACCAUCAGGUGGCCGCAGAGAAUAGGCCCAAGCGACUGUUUACCAAAAACAUAGGUUUCUGCUAAGUCGCAAGACGAUGUAUAGGAGCUGACGCCUGCCCGGUGCUGGAAGGUUAAGGGGAUCUGUUAGAGCAAUCGAAGCAGUGAACUUAAGCCCCAGUAAACGGCGGCCGUAACUAUAACGGUCCUAAGGUAGCGAAAUUCCUUGUCGGGUAAGUUCCGACCCGCACGAAAGGCGUAACGAUUUGGGCACUGUCUCAACAACAGACUCGGUGAAAUUGUAAUUCCGGUGAAGAUGCCGGAUACCUGCGACAGGACGGAAAGACCCCAUGGAGCUUUACUGUAGCUUGACAUUGGGUCUUGGUACUACAUGUACAGGAUAGGUGGGAGGCUUUGAAACCAGGACGCCAGUUUUGGCGGAGCCAUCCUUGGGAUACCACCCUUGUAGUACUGGGACUCUAACCAUAGGCCAUGAAUCUGGUCUUGGGACACUGUCAGGUGGGCAGUUUGACUGGGGCGGUCGCCUCCCAAAAGGUAACGGAGGCGCUCAAAGGUUCUCUCAGUACGGUCGGAAAUCGUACGUAGAGUGUAAAGGCAAAAGAGAGCUUGAUUGCAAGACAUACAGGUCGAGCAAGGAUGAAAAUCGGACUUAGUGAUCCGGUGGUUCUGCGUGGAAGGGCCAUCGCUCAACGGAUAAAAGCUACCCUGGGGAUAACAGGCUUAUCUCCCCCAAGAGUCCACAUCGACGGGGAGGUUUGGCACCUCGAUGUCGGCUCAUCACAUCCUGGGGCUGUAGUAGGUCCCAAGGGUUGGGCUGUUCGCCCAUUAAAGUGGUACGCGAGCUGGGUUCAGAACGUCGUGAGACAGUUCGGUCCCUAUCCGUCGCAGGCGUAGGAAAUUUGAGAAGACCUGUCCUUAGUACGAGAGGACCGGGAUGGACGUACCUCUGGUGUACCAGUUGUCCUGCCAAGGGCAUGGCUGGGUAGCUAUGUACGGAAUGGAUAAGCGCUGAAAGCAUCUAAGCGCGAAGCCAACUUCAAGAUAAGAUUUCCCACCGCAAGGGUAAGACCCCAGAAAGACUAUCUGGUUGAUAGGUCGAAGGUGUAAGUGCAGCAAUGUAUUUAGCUUAUCGAUACUAAUAGGUCGAGGACUUGACCAA